This 350-nucleotide long non-coding RNA is filed under the name Setaria viridis. RNAcentral describes it as "long non-coding RNA (SVIR_LNC007082)". The record is from RNAcentral. Lineage: Eukaryota; Viridiplantae; Streptophyta; Magnoliopsida; Poales; Poaceae.
UAUACUGUCAUCUAUGUAAACUUCUAAGUGUCAAUAUUUUGUCAUGAAAAAAUAACGAUGCAGAAGUGGAGUGAAACGAAGAACACAAUAGUACCAUGGCGAUGGUUUGGAAUGUGCUGUAUGGAACCUUGUUCCCUUUUUCUCCUCUUACCCUCUCUAUCACGUUCCUUAGGAUCUACAUGAUGUGGGGUUUGCGUACCUUGAUCAUAUUGAAAUGACAUAAUGAGUGACCAUAGUACAUCACGACCCAAAUGUCCAAUUGUAUCCUUACCUUGGAUUAUUAUGUUUGUGAGUUCUUUAAAAGGUUCCAUAGACCGACUUGACCCUUCCAACAAAGCGAUAGUCCCUGC